GAUGAACGCUGGCGGCGUGCCUAAUACAUGCAAGUCGAGCGAACAGAUGAGGAGCUUGCUCCUCUGACGUUAGCGGCGGACGGGUGAGUAACACGUGGAUAACCUACCUAUAAGACUGGGAUAACUUCGGGAAACCGGAGCUAAUACCGGAUAAUAUAUUGAACCGCAUGGUUCAAUAGUGAAAGACGGUUUUGCUGUCACUUAUAGAUGGAUCCGCGCCGCAUUAGCUAGUUGGUAAGGUAACGGCUUACCAAGGCAACGAUGCGUAGCCGACCUGAGAGGGGGGUCCGGCCCCACUGAACCGGAGACCCGUUCCAGACCCCUAGGGGAGGCAGCGGAGGGGAAUCUUCGGCAAUGGGCGAAAGCCUGACGGAGCAACGCCGCGGAGGGAAUGAAGGUCUUCGGUUCGUAAACUCUGUUAUUAGGGAAGAACAAAUGUGUAAGUAACUAUGCACGUCUUGACGGUACCUAAUCAGAAAGCCACGGCUAACUACGUG
RNAcentral lists this ribosomal RNA (497 nucleotides) under uncultured bacterium. Its description in RNAcentral is "partial 16S ribosomal RNA". It matches the Rfam family "Bacterial small subunit ribosomal RNA", at positions 28 to 507 of the family's 1533-position model. The record is from RNAcentral.